GACGAACGCUGGCGGCGCGCCUAACACAUGCAAGUCGAACGAGCGAGAGAGGGCUUGCUUUCUCGAGCGAGUGGCGAACGGGUGAGUAACGCGUGAGGAACCUGCCUCAAAGAGGGGGACAACAGUUGGAAACGACUGCUAAUACCGCAUAAGCCCACGGGUCGGCAUCGACCAGAGGGAAAAGGAGCAAUCCGCUUUGAGAUGGCCUCGCGUCCGAUUAGCUAGUUGGUGAGGUAAUGUCCCACCAAGGCGACGAUCGGUAGCCGGACUGAGAGGUUGAGCGGCCACAUUGGGACUGAGACACGGCCCAGACUCCUACGGGAGGCAGCAGUGGGGAAUAUUGCACAAUGGGGGAAACCCUGAUGCAGCGACGCCGCGUGGAGGAAGAAGGUCUUCGGAUUGUAAACUCCUGUUGUUGGGGAAGAUAAUGACGGUACCCAACAAGGAAGUGACGGCUAACUACGUG
RNAcentral lists this ribosomal RNA (466 nucleotides) under uncultured bacterium. RNAcentral's name for it is "partial 16S ribosomal RNA". It matches the Rfam family "Bacterial small subunit ribosomal RNA", at positions 28 to 507 of the family's 1533-position model. The record is from RNAcentral.